RNAcentral lists this ribosomal RNA (509 nucleotides) under uncultured soil bacterium. Its description in RNAcentral is "bacterial SSU rRNA". It matches the Rfam family "Bacterial small subunit ribosomal RNA", at positions 35 to 486 of the family's 1533-position model. The record is from RNAcentral.
GCUGGCGGCAGGCCUAACACAUGCAAGUCGAGCGCCCCUCCUUCAAGCGAGCUUGGAGGAUUGCGCGGCGGUGUCUUCGAACGGGCGUAAGCUCGUUUCGAGGGAAACCGUUUCGAAAUCAAGCGGACCGAAGGGCCCGCUUGAUGGAGGGGAGCGGCAGACGGGAGAGUAACACGUGGGAACGUACCCUUUGGUUCGGAACAACCCAGGGAAACUUGGGCUAAUACCGGAUAAGCCCUUACGGGGAAAGAUUCAUCGCCGAAGGAUCGGCCCGCGUCUGAUUAGCUAGUUGGUGGGGUAAUGGCCCACCAAGGCGACGAUCAGUAGCUGGUCUGAGAGGAUGAUCAGCCUCACUGGGACUGAGACACGGCCCAGACUCCUACGGGAGGCAGCAGUGGGGAAUAUUGGACAAUGGGCGCAAGCCUGAUCCAGCCAUGCCGCGUGGGUGAUGAAGGCCCUAGGGUUGUAAAGCCCUUUCGGCGGGGAAGAUAAUGACGGUACCCGCAGAA